Molecule: unclassified non-coding RNA, 146 nt
Filed under: soil metagenome
Description: partial internal transcribed spacer 1
Source: RNAcentral
CCGAGUUUACAACUCCCAAACCCUGUGAACAUACCUUUAUGUGCCUCGGCGGAUCAGCCCGCGCCCCGUAAAACGGGACGGCCCGCCGCAGGAAACCCUAAACUCUGUUUUAGUGGAACUUCUGAGUAUAAAAAACAAAUAAAUCA